Molecule: long non-coding RNA, 9441 nt
Filed under: Citrus maxima (pomelo)
Lineage: Eukaryota; Viridiplantae; Streptophyta; Magnoliopsida; Sapindales; Rutaceae
Description: long non-coding RNA (CMAX_LNC003321)
Source: RNAcentral
AUUCUAAGAGACGAAACCUGGGGAAGUGUUCUCGGAUGCUCAAAAGGUUGCUGACUGAGACAGAAGUUAAACAAAUAAUGAUAUCUGAAAUAUCGUGCAAAGCAAAUCAGUUACCACCAGAGCGUGUUUUUGUGAAUGGUGAAGCUUUAUCUCAGAAAGAGCUCGUUAUACUGCUUAGCUGCCCAAACCCUCCAAAAAAGCUAAAUCCAGGAACCUAUUGGUACGAUAAAGUGUUGGGUUAUUGGGGAGAGGUAAACAUCAGAAACUGUUGCUAUUAUUUAAUUUUCUUUUCUUGUUUAUUUUGAUUCCAUUGCACCAUGAUAGAAUUAAUAUUUGAAUUCCAUUGCACCAUGAACAGGAAGGACACCGGCCUUGCCAGAUUAUAAGCCCCCAGCUGAAUGUCGGGGGUCAGAUAAUGAAAAAUGCUAGCAACGGAAAUACAAAUGUCAUGAUCAAUAAUCGGGAGAUUACUAGAAGAGAGCUCUGGAUGCUUAAGGUUAUUUCAGUGGGCAAAUUUGUGUGUUCAUUUGAAAUUCAGUGUUUCUAAAAAUAAGAUCCAUUCUAUUCUGUAUUUCUGUUAAAUGCUGCAGUUAGCAGGAGUGCAAUGUGAAGGACAACCUCACUUUUGGGUGAGCGCAGAUGGUUCCUACACGGAAGAGGGAAUGAAAAAUGAAAAGGGGCGUAUAUGGGACAAGGUAUGUCUGCAUAUGGAUGUGCAUUGGCUUUCUUAGUUAAACUAUCCCUUAAUUUCUGAUUUGUGAUUACUGUGUAUGUACUUUACAGAGUACAAUAAAACUAGUUUGUGCUUUCUUGUCUUUGCCAACCCCGCCUGAUUCUGAGAAUCCUUGUGGCAAUGAAGUGAAUGGUGUUAACCAGUGUGAGCAGCAAAGACUUAUUAAUCUUCUUCUUCUUGGUGAACACAAAUCUGGCACGAGUACCAUAUAUAAACAGGUGAGAUUGAUUGGAACCUGUAAGAAACUUUGUCUAAUACACGUGCUAUUAUUCAUAUACUAUUAAUCUGACUGGUGAAUAUUGAAUGGCUUAUAUUUAUCAUAUAAUGCAGCCAGCUUGUGUUGUCGUUUUGCUUCAUGUCUUGUCAUUUCUAGGACUUCAAGAUUUUAGAAGGAAAGAUGUUGUAGAGCAUGUUAGUUGAUUUUUAAAAUUUGUAUUAUCUGUAGUGUACUUAUUCACAAAGAUGACAUAUUAUGUUAUUUGACUACUAGCUUAAGAUUUCAUUAUUCAACAACAUUCAUCGGAGGUACAGUAAAUUGUGUAAUUGCACUUUGGUAUGAAGAGGGUUUUUAUUGUGCAUAAAAAGCUACAUACAAGAUGGUCUCAUAUCAUCACAUUGCCGCUGAUGCUUAAAAUAUAGUAGCGGAAAUCCUUUCUCCUUCUUGGUUACAUGCUGUGUUUUGUGACUUUAUGGGAAAAUUAUGCCUUUCUAGAUCAUGUUAAGUUUUUGUAUUUGUAAUAAGGCAAAGGCCAUAAGUCUUCGUUAAGGUCUUAAGACUGAAAUUUUGAUUCCAUGGUGAAAAUUGAACAUCAAGUUUUAUUCUUUCUUUGGGCUGUAAUUUAAGCCUUUUAUCAUUUUUUUUUAUUUUGGAUCCCUUUUGUUACCUUUUUCUUUUUCUCCCUUUUUAGACAUUGAUGCAAAGGCACAUGAUGACAGAAAUGUUUGUUUCAGGCCAAACUUCUGUUUAAGGUUCCUUUCUCUGAAGAAGAGCGUCAAAAUAUUAAGUUCAUGAUCCAAAGUAAUCUGUACUUCUAUAUUGGUAUUUUGCUUGAGGGCCGUGAGCGAUUUGAAGCAGAAAGAUUGUUUGGGAAGGGAAAAAGACAGGUUAUUGACGAGCCAGGCCCUUCAGGUAACAUAAAGAUUAGAUUUACUUCUCUUUUACAUUGCUUGUAUGAUUUUCUGUUUAUUGAAUGUUCCAUGAGAUCUUGUUUGGAGCAUGCAGAUGACGUAUAAAAAUGUUUGCCUUUGUUAUCUACUGUUCUGAGUUAUUUUUGGUAGAUAUUUGACAUAUGCAUAUCACUUUUUUCUGGGAAGUCUAGCCCGUCAAAAGUCAAGUUCUUUGUUAUUAUUUUACAUGCAUGGAGAGCAUUUUUACUUUUGCUUGAUUUUUUGGACUUCUCACUUCUCAGUGCCUUUAGCGUUAAAAUUAUCAAUUGUGUUGGAUUGAAGUUCAUCACAUUGGCAAGUUGACCCUGAGGGUGGGAGGGACAACUAUGAUGUCCAGUAUUUUGUACAUUUAAUUAUUGAGAAUUUAAUAACUGUUGUCUCAUUGAAAUUUAAGUAUAUUUUAAUUCCGUACCUUCACUAUGUUCUUCUUGUGGGCACAAUUCUGGCCUGUGGUUUUGAUUUCAAUAUCUAGUAGAACAUGAAAUUUGGAGAUAAAUCAUUGCCUGCAGCCAAUUAGAACUUUCUUGUGACUAACCUGUGCCAUCAGCAGUAAACCUCAAAUUUCUUUAAAAUGUUCUUUUAACAUGUUUAACUAUUUAAAAUCAUUGGAGUAAAGAGCCUAUUGAAAUAGCAUCACAUAGCUUGUGAACAUAUUUGAUGCUUCUUGGUGGUUGCAAAUUUCAAAUUUUUUUUAAAGAAAAAUAAUCAUAUUUCUUUCUUUCCUUAUUUUCUAGUUUUUUUUUUAAAAAAAUUUCAGAGUAAAAAAUAUCCAGCAUGAAGAAAUUUAAAUUUAUAAUUAGUUUAGCAAUUGGGAGGACUGAUUUUAUUCAGGUACAACACUAAUACAGGGCAGAUUGAUGAUAAAAUGAUGUAUUCCAUCAGUCCAAGACUGAAAGCUUUCUCUGAUUGGCUUCUCAAAGUCAUGGCAUCUGGUAAUUUGGAAGCCAUAUUCCCAGCCGCUACCCGUGAAUAUGCACCAUUUAUUGAGGAGUUGUGGAGGGAUGCAGGCUUCCAAGCCACAUACAACCGGAGAAAUGAAUUAGACAUGCUUCCCAGACAUGCCACCUAUUUCCUAGAACGGGUUAGAUCACUAUCUAUGGUCAUUGUCUGCUGAGUAUUUCAUUAUUCAUAUUUGGUUCAGCUUCAGUAUGUAUCUUUUGUUUUUGGAUCAAUAGAGUCUUGAUUGUUUAUUUCAUUUGCCUCAUGAUUGUCCAGUGAUCUUGAAUAGCAUCCUCUAUUCCAUAGACAUAAUUGUCAAUGUACAUAUGACCUGCACCGUAAUUUAAAAAUUCCAAGUAUAUAUUUAAUAUUCUUGUAUUUUGGCUUCUUAUUAAUCAUGUGCUUUCUUAUCCCAUGUCAUUUCAGAAAACAUAUUUCAUAAAAGAUAUUUUUUGAAACUAAAAUGAAAGGCAUUCUGAAUUCACACCAUCAGUUCUCUUCGUGUAUUGUUUCUCAAAAGCUUGAACGAGGAAAGAUGAUUGUUUUGAUUUGUACUUCACUGUUUGCUAUUUUUUUCAAUAUUAACAUUAGUUUCCCUCUCAGGCUGUUGAGAUUUCAAGGACAGGCUAUGAGCCCUCAGAUAUGGAUAUCUUGUAUGCUGAGGAAAUUACAUCAAGCAAUGGGCUUUCGUCCAUGGUAUUUUCAUUACCGGAGCAGACACAAGAAAACUCCAUAAGUGACUCUUCCAAUCAGAAUGAUCCCUUGCUCAGGUUACUGUCUAAUCUGUGCUUUAAAUUUACGUAUAAGCCAAACAUGCAUUGCACUUUGCCAGAUUUUUGCUAUUGCUGUUGCUGUCAAAUGCCAUUGUGAGAUUUAGCUACCGAAGGAAAGGACUUCAUGGGUAGUAAUUCUGGCUUGCAGAUUGAAUUUUGGGUAGCUUAACUCAGUUUGAAUGGGGAUAUUGUCAUCAAUGAAUUGAGUCUGCAAUUCUGUUGGAACUGGAAGUUAUUAGCUAAGUUAGUGGUCCCACUUGGCUUGGCAAGACACAGAAAGAAUAAUCAGUUAAUUGCCUUUCAACUUCAAGAAUACUUUAAAUUUACCAGCAUUUCAUACUUGAGUUUUAGCUAUUGAUUUAUUUCUCUUCUUUGGCAUGAAAUGUUUUAGCAAUCAAAUAUGAAUAAUCUUUUACAGCUGUGAUGGAUCUUUGGCAUAAGUUUCUUGAAAGUGGGGAACGAUGUAUGAUUGAUUAUAAAUUGUUCAUCUAACUUACCAAUUUUUGCUUUGCACUUGCAGCUAUCAACUCAUUAGAGUGCAUCCAAGAAGCCUCGGGGAGAACUGCAAGUGGCUAGAAAUGUUUGAAGAUGUUGAUAUGAUCCUCUUUUGUGUUUCUUUGACUGACUACGAUGAAUAUUUUGAAGAUAGCAAAGGAUUUCUCACCAACAAGAUGUUGGCAAGCAGGCAGCUCUUCCAAAACAUUGUCAUUCAUCCAACCUUCAAUCAAAAGAACUUCCUUCUGAUACUCAACAAGUAUGAUAUGUUAGAGGAAAAGAUUGAAGAAGUUCCUCUCUCUCGAUGUGAAUGGUUUGAAGACUUCAAUCCGGUGAUCAGCCAUAAUCACCAUAGCACUAGUAGAAGAACUAGCAACACACCACUGGCUGUAUCUGCCGCCCACUACAUUGCAGUGAAGUUCAAGAGGUUGUUCGAUUCUCUAACUGGUCGUAAGUUGUUUGUUUCAGUAGUUACUGCCUUGGAGCCUGAGACUGUAGAUGAAGCUCUCAAUUAUGCAAAGGAGAUUCUGAAGUGGGAGGAAGAGGAACCUGUCUACACUAACAUUGAGUCAACUGAUUACGAGGCAAGCUCAUCAUCAUGAAUUUUCUUCUCGGGUUGAAUUUUGCUCAUCCAUCCUCAGUUAUACAAAACAUUGGAAAGGAUUUUUUUUUUUUUCCAAAGAUAGAAGAACAUCAGAAGAAAAUACAUUGGGUCAAGCACAUGCUUGUGUAUACUAAUCCAGAUUUGCAUAGAAGUUAGGGAGAUUAAGAUUCUUUCCUAGAGCUGUAAAGAACUGUCGUUUUGCCAUUUCAAUUAAGAUUUAGUAAAUAAAAGAAGAAUAAUUACUUUGCACAAUGAGACACAUAGCUGACAAGCUUGCAUAAAUACAAACGGACAUGGAAUUCAUUUUCGUUGCCUGAAUUUAACUGACGGAUUACAUAUCUUGUCUACAAACAAACAUGAAAAAAAAGACCUUUUUAACUACAUAAGGCUUCACAGAAAGAUUGAAUACACAUCAACAAGGCACAAACCGGUCCAUAAGCAAACAGAUAGUAGUCUCUGAUAUUGUACUUUCAUCUUCAACCUCUUUGGUGCUCUCCUUUUUAUCUUCUUUCCCACGUACUUGUUCUUUCUUAGCUCUUAACACAAACGGCUUCCUGCCUUUAACCUUCUCUCCCAGCUUCGCAAGCUCACCCAUGCAUAUCUCCACAACUGCCGACAUUUUCACUGCGAUAACCAAGAACCCACUUGGAAUUUUCAGCUGGCUCUUUCUUUCUUGUUGAUCUUUCUUUAUUGAAUAUGAAACGAGAAGCAACGUGGGGUUUAUAAAGAAGAGAAGGCGAGCAAAAGUCCACAUAGAAUUUGGCGGGUUCUGGAGACCCGCUGGUUUUGACUGUUGGGGAGAAAAAUCAAUGUGUGGAUGCCCACAGAGAUGCCGUUUUGAGAACCUUCUGUUCCAUUUAUCUUUCUUUGGAUUGGAUAUUCCCGCGUUUGCAAGAAAAUAUCCUUUUGCGUGACAGUUCUAAUGUGUGACGACUCACACAUUAAUUAUCAAUGCUCAAUUUCAAAACUAACCUCUAGUUCUUAACUUGGAGUAUUUGAUCAAACGGUGAGCUAUUAAUAUCUUACAUUGUUUUAUUAAUUUAGAGUUACAUCUUAAAACAUUUUAUUAGCACAGACUGACAGACACGUAACAAUUUUAUAUUACUAUAUAAAAUCUAAUAAAAUUAGACUCAUUAAUAUAAUAUUUGAUUAUAUAAUAAAAGAGUCUAUAAAAAUUUAUUCUGAUCAAAUAAAUAAAUAAUAAUUAGAGUGAUUUAUCCCGUGAUAUGGUUUUAAACCGCACCAAUUUUUUUUUUAAAAACUUAAAAAGAUCUUUUUAGGGUAGAGUUGUAUAGCAAGAUGCUAAUUUUAUUUUUAAAUUUAUAUUUUAUCAAUUAAAUUAGAGGUUUUUAGGAAAUAAAAUUUAAAAAGGGUAUUGUAAGGAUUUUAGAGGGGUGUUAGAAGCCCCACUCUUUUGUACUAGUGCUACGGACAUAUGGUUACAAUUGAUAUUGGCCUAUGGGUAAAGCCCUGUAUUUUAUGUUAUCCACUAUAAUUCUAGGUGAACUUAUUGAGGCUAAUCUUGAAUUAGGGGUGGACAAAUACUUCAAUCCAAUUGAAUCUGAAUCGCAAUGCAGCGAUGCACAUACAAGCACAAAGUUUUGAUCCAAUCCAAUUUAUAUUCGGAUUUAAUCGGAUUGUAUUAUAAGUUUGGGUUGAGUUCAGAUUACUUUUUUUUUUCCAAUUUGUUUAAUCCAAAAUCCAAUCGCGUUAAUUCGAACCUGAAUUUUCCUACCCCUACAACUAUCAUUAGAGGAUAUAAUUAAAAAGAAAUGAGUUAUACGAUUAUUUGCAAUAAUUCAUGUCUAAAGCUAUGAAGCAAAUACCCAAACAUCAUCAGCAAAUAAUUAAUGUCUUAUUUAUAAGUUUGAAAACGAAAUAACCCCAUCGAUAGCGCUUCCACAUUGUAAAUCGCACUUAUUCCAUUACAAACAAACAAUUAAGUACCAUACCAUAACCUAAAUUUCUAUCUUAAAAAUGGUUCCUUAUCUAAAUAUAAUAAUUAGUCAUUGAAAAAUCCAUAAAAUUUAAUAUACAAUCACCGACCUUAUGAUUGAUGUAAAAUGCAUUUUUUUUUCAAUUUUAUUUUGUCAUACACCCACCACUUGUUUUCUAUAUUAACAUAAAUUCCAAUUUUUUCAUUUAUUAAUAUUUUAAUGCGAUCACAAUACUCGUUCCAAGAUGUAUUAUAUAGGAUUAAUAUUAUGACAUAGUCUCAAGUCUGACCUAUCUCAACUUAGGUAGUUGAACGUACUUGACCAAAUUACCCUUUCUUAGCGCCAAAAUUCAGUUAGGUACAAUCAAUCGCAGCAGCAAGUACUUUGAAAUUUUGAAACGAAGCACACAUGUUUCGUUCUGGCGUGACUGAUCAGUUCCUCGCAGCUUCCUCUUCAACCUCAAAGCGUUGACGAAGGAAAAAUGAAAAGAGUCUUCACUGGUGAGAGCACAACUCUACAGGAAAGAAUUCACAUUUUCUUUGUUCUUUAUUAUUUCUUUCAACUGUCACUUUGCCUUCAUGAUUUUCAUUUUCUUCAUUCUCUUCGUGGCAGCCUCCCUUUUCUCCAAUUCCUAAUAAACGCCAAAAAUGCUUGGUUUAGUUCUCUUAUUGAUUGAUUUUGCUUUCUGGGUUUGUGAGAUAUGUUGAUUUUGCUUCAUGGGUUGUUUUUUCAAUUAGUUAUAUUUUGUGGGUUUUUGAAAUAUUUGGUCAUGCUUCAUCUGUGUAUUUGAUGAUCAUUUCGUUUUGCUUCAUGCUUCUUAAAUCAUUGAAAUGAUUGAUUAAGUUUCUUGUAUGCUUUGAUGGAUUGUUGAAGUAAUUGAUUUUGCUCCGUGGGUAUGUUGAACUAUUGGCUUUUAUUUAUUGGGGGUUUUUUAAUUAGUGUUUUAAUUGGUUUAUUGGUUUAUUGAAAUAGGGUUACUGGUUUUGAGUUGAUUUUGAGUAGGGUUUACAAAAUGGCUCAGCUUUUGAGGAAAAUUCUGCCUGUUGUGCCAUUGAGAUCAAAACCUUAUGAUGAUGAUGAGGAUGAUAAAAAUAACACUGAAUAUUCAUUUGCCGUUGAGUAUUCUGGCCCUCUGAUCAGUUCUGAUAUUCCCCUGGCAUCGCCAAUAGUUGUUGACCAAAUCCCCAUUGCUGUUACGGUUGCCUCUCCUUCCUUGUUAAGAGAUAGGUCGUUGCCAGUAAUCCAACCAACUGUAAAAAGUACUCCAGGAGGCAGAAGACGGUUGAAGGAGCCUGAAUUAAGUUCUGAACCUACAUUACGUAGUAAUUCAUUAACCAAUUCCGGAGCGUCCUUGACUGGUCCUAAUGUGUCCUGUGAAUCACAAAGUUUGGUAGAUAGCUCAGGUGAUGUUGGAUGUGCAACUGGUGAUUACUCCCAGCCCAAGUCAGUUAAUGGAGUUAGAAGUUCCAGUAAAUUCAGAAGUCCUGAUGCUCAAGAUAAUUCAUCUGACGUAAUAAGAAGUUCUGCUAAACUGAAUAGUCUUGAUCGUCAUGAUAAUUUGUGUGUAAUUCUAAAAUUAUCUGAUGGUAGUGAAGAAGGUGCAGAUGCAGGCCUGCAAAAUGGUAUAAAUCCUGCCAAUUUGGAUUUAACAGAUUCUGGUUUAAGUUCACAUGAACAUACAUCAAAGUUUUUUUCUUGCAAUGAGGGAUAUUUUGGUGAUGAAGAAACUCCUUCCAAUGUUAGAGGAUCAUCAGUUGUUAUUUCUGAUGAUCCUGAGACAAGUGAUAUAGUCCAUGAAGAAUCUGAUAACUCUGAAAGCGUCCAUCUGAGAGCAAAGGCUGAAAGAUAUGGGAAGAAAAGUUCAUGCUGUCAAUGCUUGCAGGAAUAUCAAUCUCUUGAAAUGGAGGUUUGCAUAGUUUGUGAUACAAUGUAUUGUUGUAACUGUGUGGUGAGAGCAAUGGGGUCAACACCUGAAGGAAGAAAAUGUGUUUCCUGUGUUGAUUCCAGGUUAGAUGUGUGCAUGCCCAUGUCAUCUAAUGGAAUAGGAAGUUCUGGUAAAUCAAAUAGCCUCAACUGUUACGAUAAUAUGCCUGCAAACAAUGAAUUGCCCGAUAAUAGGAACGAUGGCGCUAAUGCAGGAUUUCAUGAUUAUAUGAAUCCUGCUGACUCAGAGUCAACGGAGUCAGAUGUAAGUUCAUACAGUGUUUCAUCUGAGGUGUUUUCUUGCAAAGAGGAGGGUUUUAAUAACGAAGAAACUCCUGGCCAUGUUAGAAGACCAUCAGUCGUUAGUUUCCGUGACCCUGACCCAAGUGAUACAGUUUAUGAAGAAUCUGAUUAUUCUGAGGUUGAAAGCAUCCAUGAGAGGCCAAAGGCUGUAAGGCCAGGGAAGAAAGGUUCGUGCUAUCGAUGCUUGAAAGGAAAUCGGUUCACUGAGAAGGAUUUCUGUAUUGUUUGUGGUGCAAAAUAUUGUUCAAACUGUGUGCUGAGGGCAAUGGGAUCAAUGCCAGAAGGAAGAAAAUGUGUUACUUGCAUUGGUUUCAGCGUGGAUGAUUCUAAGAGACGAAACCUGGGGAAGUGUUCUCAGAUGCUCAAAAGAUUGCUGACUGAGACGGAAGUUAAACAAAUAAUGAGAUCUGAAAUAUUGUGCAAAGCAAAUCAGUUGCCACCAGAGCGUGUUUUUGUGAAUGGUGAACAUUUAUCUCAGAAAGAGCUCGUUAUACUGCUUAGCUGCCCAAACCCUCCAAAAAAGCUAAAUCCAGGAACCUAUUGGUAUGAUAAAGUGUUGGGUUUUUG